GACGAACGCUGGCGGCGUGCUUAACACAUGCAAGUCGAACGGAAAGGCCCUGCUUUUGUGGGGUGCUCGAGUGGCGAACGGGUGAGUAACACGUGAGUAACCUGCCCUUGACUUUGGGAUAACUUCAGGAAACUGGGGCUAAUACCGGAUAGGAGCUCCUGCUGCAUGGUGGGGGUUGGAAAGUUUCGGCGGUUGGGGAUGGACUCGCGGCUUAUCAGCUUGUUUGUGGGGUAGUGGCUUACCAAGGCUUUGACGGGUAGCCGGCCUGAGAGGGUGACCGGCCACAUUGGGACUGAGAGACGGCCGAGACUACUACGGGAGGAGGCAGUGGAGAAUAUUGCACAAUGGGCGGAAGACUGAUGCAGAAACGCCGCGUGCGGGAUGACGGCCUUCGGGUUGUAAACCGCUUUCGCCUGUGACGAAGCGUGAGUGACGGUAAUGGGUAAAGAAGCACCGGCUAACUACG
This 466-nucleotide ribosomal RNA is filed under the name uncultured bacterium. RNAcentral describes it as "partial 16S ribosomal RNA". It matches the Rfam family "Bacterial small subunit ribosomal RNA", at positions 28 to 505 of the family's 1533-position model. The record is from RNAcentral.